Molecule: long non-coding RNA, 890 nt
Organism: Clupea harengus (Atlantic herring)
Lineage: Eukaryota; Metazoa; Chordata; Actinopteri; Clupeiformes; Clupeidae
Exons: 2
Source: RefSeq, a predicted model, not a curated record
GGCACACGGCAGAAAUUCUGGAGGGCGACGUUACAUUGCUUACGCUAGACCUGAGGGGGCGGGUAAUUCAAAGAGUGAAGCUAGCCGGAUGCUUAAGGAAUCAACCGAGGCAGAUUAUCGACAUGGUGUCAAACCCCCGUAUCGGGGUGGAGUCGUUGCUGGUGAUGGUCAUCAGAAAAGCACCAGCCCAGCAGAAGGCAGGGAGAGCCAGAGUCUGGCUGGGGAAGUGCUUCAGACUCUAGACAGAGAAGGCCUAUAAGACAGAUGCAGGUAGAACACAUGCACACACACACUCACACACUGCUCAACACUCUCCAGCUACCAGGCAAAAGGGAGGUUCUUUCUUCCACCACACUGGUCAUUUAGUUUGUCACUGGAUCUCCCAACUUAAUGGCGUUUGGGCUGCUCUAAGUGUUUGUUUGUUUGCAUUGUGUCCCUCUGUAGUUGGAAAUUCCUCGUGGGGGAGAGCUGCGCGUCAUCGGAGUGCUACUUGGGAGCGUUCCUGGUGGACGGACCAGCGCAGAACCGUCUCCACGCUUGAAAGUGACAAAGCGGGUCCCUGCCACACUGGCCGGUAGCGACUUGCUGUCUGGAUUGUAUACUGGAUUGGGAUGACUCCUCUUUGGUGUGGGUUGAUCUAUUGCAGUGUUUUUUUUCUGUGGAUUCUAUAUGUGGGGUCGUGGUUUAAGUAUUGCAAACUGAUAAUACCUUUUGGGGGGAAGGCUUGUAUCUUGCUUUUGUGUGGACCUUGUGUGGGGGUUUUCAUGUUAGACAUGGUUGGCCAUUAGUGGGGUUUAUGCCUAUCGCCUAGUGGGGUUCUAUGUACAGUGAAUCUGUGCCUACAGUCCUGUAUCCAGUCUCCUUGUGGCAAAUAAACAUUUGUAUAACCA